Enterobacter sp. 638 is the source of this 130-nucleotide regulatory RNA element. It matches the Rfam family "RtT RNA". Rfam says of the family: This family represents a bacterial cis-regulatory element known as RtT RNA. The exact function of RtT is unknown although it is thought that it may be involved in changing the cellular response in relation to amino acid starvation. The record is from Rfam. NCBI's taxonomy places the organism in Bacteria, Pseudomonadati, Pseudomonadota, Gammaproteobacteria, Enterobacterales, Enterobacteriaceae.
AGUUUGCACUUAUCGGGAAGGGUGAGAACCUUCGUUAAGGUUCGACUCUUGCGAAGCAAGAGAACGUUGCCUCUGGCAACGGCCCGCAGGGUGAGGAGCGAAGCGACGAAUAAUCCUUCCCCCACCACCC